GACGAACGCUGGCGGCGUGCUUAACACAUGCAAGUCGAACGGAAAGGCCUGCUUUCCCUUGUGGAUUGCGGGUACUCGAGUGGCGAACGGGUGAGUAACACGUGAGUGAUCUGCCCCCAACUUGGGUAUAAGCCUGGGAAACUGGGUCUAAUUCCCGAUAGGACUGCAGGGUGGUGCCUGUGGUGGAAAACGAUUUUCUAGUGGUUGGGGAUGAGCUCGCGGCCUAUCAGCUUGUUGGUGGGGUAAUGGCCUACCAAGGCGGCGACGGGUAGCCGGCCAGGGAGGGUGGACGGCCACAUUGGAACUGAGAUACGGCCCAGACUCCUACGGGAGGCAGCAGUGGGGAAGAUGGCACGAUGGGCGGAAGCCUGAUGCAGCGACGCCGCGUGGGGGAUGACGGGCUUCGGGUUGUAAACUCCUUUCGACCGCGAGGAAGCCACCUGGUUGGAAGGGUGGUGACGGUAGUGGUAGAAGAAGCACCGGCUAACUACGUG
This 494-nucleotide ribosomal RNA is filed under the name uncultured bacterium. RNAcentral describes it as "partial 16S ribosomal RNA". It matches the Rfam family "Bacterial small subunit ribosomal RNA", at positions 28 to 507 of the family's 1533-position model. The record is from RNAcentral.